UUUUUAUUGAGAGUUUGAUCCUGGCUCAGGACGAACGCUGGCGGUAUGCUUAACACAUGCAAGUCGAACGAGAAGAUCAGUUAAGAACCUUCGGGGGAAAAAGUGAUUGGAAAGUGGCGAACGGGUGAGUAACGCGUGGGUAACCUGCCCUAUGGAAAGGAAUAGCCUCGGGAAACUGGGAGUAAAGCCUUAUAUUAUGGAGAGAUCGCAUGGUCAUUUCAUGAAAACUCCGGUGCCAUAGGAUGGACCCGCGUC
RNAcentral lists this ribosomal RNA (255 nucleotides) under Eubacterium maltosivorans. Its description in RNAcentral is "16S rRNA. Bacterial SSU". It matches the Rfam family "Bacterial small subunit ribosomal RNA", at positions 1 to 237 of the family's 1533-position model. Lineage: Bacteria; Bacillati; Bacillota; Clostridia; Eubacteriales; Eubacteriaceae. The record is from RNAcentral.